This 1287-nucleotide ribosomal RNA is filed under the name metagenome. Its description in RNAcentral is "bacterial SSU rRNA". It matches the Rfam family "Bacterial small subunit ribosomal RNA", at positions 242 to 1520 of the family's 1533-position model. The record is from RNAcentral.
UAGCUAGUUGGUGAGGUAAAGGCUUACCAAGGCGACGAUCUGUAGCGGGUCUGAGAGGAUGAUCCGCCACACUGGAACUGAGACACGGUCCAGACUCCUACGGGAGGCAGCAGUGGGGAAUUUUGGACAAUGGGGGCAACCCUGAUCCAGCCAUGCCGCGUGAGUGAAGAAGGCCUUCGGGUUGUAAAGCUCUUUCGGCCGGGAAGAAAUCGCAUGGGUCAAUACCCUGUGUGGAUGACGGUACCGGAAUAAGAAGCACCGGCUAACUACGUGCCAGCAGCCGCGGUAAUACGUAGGGUGCGAGCGUUAAUCGGAAUUACUGGGCGUAAAGCGUGCGCAGGCGGUUUUGUAAGACAGGCGUGAAAUCCCCGGGCUUAACCUGGGAACUGCGUUUGUGACUGCAAGGCUAGAGUACGGCAGAGGGGGGUGGAAUUCCACGUGUAGCAGUAAAAUGCGUAGAGAUGUGGAGGAACACCAAUGGCGAAGGCAGCCCCCUGGGUCGAUACUGACGCUCAUGCACGAAAGCGUGGGUAGCAAACAGGAUUAGAUACCCUGGUAGUCCACGCCCUAAACUAUGUCAACUAGGUGUUGGGUGGGUAAAACCAUUUAGUACCGUAGCUAACGCGUGAAGUUGACCGCCUGGGGAGUACGGCCGCAAGGUUAAAACUCAAAGGAAUUGACGGGGACCCGCACAAGCGGUGGAUGAUGUGGAUUAAUUCGAUGCAACGCGAAAAACCUUACCUACCCUUGACAUGCCAGGAACUUGCCAGAGAUGGCUUGGUGCCCGAAAGGGAGCCUGGACACAGGUGCUGCAUGGCUGUCGUCAGCUCGUGUCGUGAGAUGUUGGGUUAAGUCCCGCAACGAGCGCAACCCUUGUCGUUAAUUGCCAUCAUUUGGUUGGGCACUUUAACGAGACUGCCGGUGACAAACCGGAGGAAGGUGGGGAUGACGUCAAGUCCUCAUGGCCCUUAUGGGUAGGGCUUCACACGUCAUACAAUGGUCGGUACAAAGGGUUGCCAAGCCGCGAGGCGGAGCCAAUCCCAGAAAGCCGAUCGUAGUCCGGAUUGCAGGCUGCAACUCGCCUGCGUGAAGUCGGAAUCGCUAGUAAUCGUGGAUCAGCAUGUCACGGUGAAUACGUUCCCGGGUCUUGUACACACCGCCCGUCACACCAUGGGAGCGGGUUCCGCCAGAAGUAGGUAGCCUAACCGCAAGGGGGGCGCUUACCACGGCGGGGUUCGUGACUGGGGUGAAGUCGGAGCAAGGUAGCCGUAGGGGAACCUGCGGCUG